RNAcentral lists this ribosomal RNA (1542 nucleotides) under metagenome. Its description in RNAcentral is "bacterial LSU rRNA". It matches the Rfam family "Bacterial large subunit ribosomal RNA", at positions 1422 to 2925 of the family's 2925-position model. The record is from RNAcentral.
UGAUAUUACCCUUGGGGGGGGAGGUUCCGGAGCGCCAGACCCGAUCCGGUAGUAGCCAAGCAAUGGGGUGACGCAGGAAGGUAGUUCAACCGCGGCGAUGGUAGUCCGCGGCCAAGGUCGUAGGGCGAUGCGUAGGCAAAUCCGCGCAUCAUAUGCCUGAGAGCUGAUGGGGAGCCGAUUGAGGCGAAGUGAGUGAUCCUAUGCUGCCAAGAAAAGCCUCUAGCGAGAAUCAAAGCCGCCCGUACCCCAAACCAACACAGGUGGUCAGGUAGAGAAUACUAAGGCGAUCGAGUGAACUAUGGUUAAGGAACUCGGCAAAAUGCCCCCGUAACUUCGGGAGAAGGGGGGCCAGGACUGGUGAUGGGACUUGCUCCCUGAGCUGGCUCUGGCCGCAGAGACCAGGCGGAAGCGACUGUUUACUAAAAACACAGGUCCAUGCAAAGUCGCAAGACGACGUAUAUGGACUGACGCCUGCCCGGUGCUGGAACGUUAAGGGGACCGGUUAGGCCUUCGGGCCGAAGCUGAGAACUUAAGCGCCAGUAAACGGCGGUGGUAACUAUAACCAUUCUAAGGUAGCGAAAUUCCUUGUCGGGUAAGUUCCGACCUGCACGAAUGGCGUAACGACUUCCGCGCUGUCUCAACCAUAGACUCGGCGAAAUUGCACUACGAGUAAAGAUGCUCGUUACGCGUGGCAGGACGGAAAGACCCCGGGACCUUUACUAUAGCUUGGUAUUGGUGGUCGAUUCGAUUUGUGUAGGAUAGGUGGGAGACUAUGAAGCUCGGACGCCAGUUCGGGUGGAGUCACUGUUGAAAUACCACUCUGAUCGUAUUGGCUGUCUAACCUCGGACCGUGAUCCGGUCUAGGGACAGUGCCUGGUGGGUAGUUUAACUGGGGCGGUUGCCUCCUAAAAGGUAACGGAGGCGCUCAAAGUUUCCCUCAGCCUGGUUGGCAAUCAGGUGUCGAGUGUAAGUGCACAAGGGAGCUUGACUGUGAGACCGACGGGUCGAGCAGGGACGAAAGUCGGAACUAGUGAUCCGGCGCAUGCUAGUGGAAGCGGCGUCGCUCAACGGAUAAAAGGUACCCCGGGGAUAACAGGCUGAUCUUGCCCAAGAGUCCAUAUCGACGGCAUGGUUUGGCACCUCGAUGUCGGCUCGUCGCAUCCUGGGGCUGGAGUAGGUCCCAAGGGUUGGGCUGUUCGCCCAUUAAAGCGGUACGCGAGCUGGGUUUAGAACGUCGUGAGACAGUUCGGUCCCUAUCCGCCACGCGCGCAGGAGUCUUGAGAAGACCUGCCCCUAGUACGAGAGGACCGGGGUGGACGAACCUCUGGUGUGCCAGUUGUCCUGCCAAGGGCACGGCUGGUUAGCUACGUUCGGAAGGGAUAACCGCUGAAAGCAUCUAAGCGGGAAACCCGCUUCAAGAUGAGGACUCCCACAGGGUUGACCUGGUAAGGCCCCCAGCUAGACGACUGGGUUGAUAGGCCGGAUGUGGAAGCACAGCAAUGUGUGGAGCUGACCGGUACUAAUAGGCCGAGGACUUGCCCC